This 464-nucleotide ribosomal RNA is filed under the name uncultured bacterium. Its description in RNAcentral is "bacterial SSU rRNA". It matches the Rfam family "Bacterial small subunit ribosomal RNA", at positions 330 to 792 of the family's 1533-position model. The record is from RNAcentral.
UCCAGACUCCUACGGGAGGCAGCAGUGAGGAAUAUUGGUCAAUGGGCGGGAGCCUGAACCAGCCAAGUCGCGUGAAGGAAGAAGGUACUUAGUAUUGUAAACUUCUUUUGUCGGGGAACAAAGGCGGAGACGCGUCUCCGGAUGAGUGUACCCGAAGAAAGAGCAUCGGCUAACUCCGUGCCAGCAGCCGCGGUAAUACGGAGGAUGCGAGCGUUAUCCGGAUUUAUUGGGUUUAAAGGGUGCGCAGGCGGGAGAUCAAGUCAGCGGUAAAAUGUCGGGGCUCAACCCCGGCCGGCCGUUGAAACUGGUUUUCUAGAGUUGGAGAGAAGUAUGCGGAAUUCGUGGUGUAGCGGUGAAAUGCAUAGAUAUUACACAGAACACCGAUUGCGAAGGCAGCUUGCUAGGCCGGAUCUGACACUGAUGCACGAAAGCGUGGGGAUCGAACAGGAUUAGAUACCCGAGUA